Long non-coding RNA from Penaeus indicus, 1132 nucleotides. RefSeq lists it as uncharacterized. The record is from RefSeq and is a predicted model, not a curated record. The transcript has 6 exons. Lineage: Eukaryota; Metazoa; Arthropoda; Malacostraca; Decapoda; Penaeidae.
CGACGAGUGGGUUGAGCUCACUCUGAGAGGUGCAGCCAAGAUGGCUAGUGGCGUGGGUUGAGUUCUCACCGACACGAGAACAUGGAGAAUCAAGCAUGGUAUCCACAAAAUGCCCACCAGGGAAACAACCAGGGUAACCAGGGAAACCAGGAAAUUACAAUAACCAUGCCCGGAACAACCAUGGCAACCAAAACGAGGCCAAAGAAGAUGAAAAGAAGAAAACAAGCCUCAGAGAUGUGAUACAAGAACGAGAUCAGCAGCUACGAGAAGCCCAAGGAAAUGAUUAGGCUGUGUUACUGGGCAAUGGACUUGAUCCUUAGAUGGAAGGGAUGUCACCUGUGGCAAGUCCUGAUAGCAGCCCAGGAGAAUGUUGAUCAAGGCCUCGCUAAGCAGAACCUACACUCAAUGGCUGACCUGCUAACAGUGGAAAGCAUUUCUCCCAUUUAAAUAGAGAUGAACCUGGCGAAAAGUUGUUCAGUGGUUAAGAUGCUGGCAGAUACCUGGAAGAUCUUCAGCCACCCAAGAUGAACAACAAGAGAGUAAGAGCAAAUCAUUCCCAAGGCUUCUAUAUGUGAAAGAAAAGAGAAGAUUCCCCAAUUUUGAAUUGCUCAUGGUAUGGUGCAGAGUUGGAGAUACCCAACUUAAGGACUCAUCAUUGAGACUGGCGGUCUGGCGAGCCAUGGCAGUGCGCCGACUUUGAGUGCAAAUGUUUGGCACAUCAAGCCGAAUCACCAGCAAGCCGCACACCAACAUUCAAAUGUUUUUUUCCACGCCCAUAGGCAUGACCUGUUGUGAAGGGGUUAUGUGCAUGCAUGGUUUUCGCAGAAAGUUUUUUUUUUAUUCUUUUUAUUUUUUUAUAUUUUUUUUUAAUUUGAUAUUUGUACUAGUAUCAUAUUAUGUAGUGAUUGUUAUUAGGGUAUUGCUAUUUUGGUAUUGGUAAUGCAACAAAAUGAAAAAGUGUGAUUAAUACAAAAUUUUUAAAAAUUACCCAUUUAAAUGGGAGAAAUGCUUUCCACUGUUAGCAGGUCAGCCAUUGAGUGUUCUGCUUAGCGAGGCCUUUAUCAAUAUUCUCCUGGGCUGCUAUCAGGACUUGCCACAGGUGACAUCCCUUCCAUCUAAGGAUCAAGUCCCU